GAGCCCUGAGGAAGGGCAGCACCUCCCCAGUAACAGCGCUGGCCAAAACACACACAACAAGAGUAUCUAAAGCUAGACCUGGGGACAGCCCCCCUCUGCACUGAGACCGGCGGCAACUCCAGGAUGACCCAUUUCCUUUCACAAUUGCACCAGGCCCCUCUCUGAAGAAAACAUCAAGCUUCUGAAGCCAAGCCACCUUGAAAUUUGGGAGACAGCUUUUCUAGCUGAAGUUUGUCUUUGCUGCAGCAGAGUAACCUCAAGCACUUGACUAUUAC
Molecule: long non-coding RNA, 275 nt
Organism: Empidonax traillii (willow flycatcher)
Lineage: Eukaryota; Metazoa; Chordata; Aves; Passeriformes; Tyrannidae
Exons: 3
Source: RefSeq, a predicted model, not a curated record